Molecule: long non-coding RNA, 729 nt
Filed under: Olea europaea subsp. europaea
Lineage: Eukaryota; Viridiplantae; Streptophyta; Magnoliopsida; Lamiales; Oleaceae
Source: RNAcentral
GGCUUCCACUAUCUUCAAAAAGAUGAAGAAAAACCCAUUAUAAAGUGUGCUCAAAUGGUGCAAAACAAUUUAAAAGACAAUACAUAAAAUGGAAACAAAUUCCAAAACCAACUUUCUCUUUCAAAUCCUUAUCUUCUCAUACUUUAUCAGCAUUACUGCUGUAAGAGGCCUCAAUGAUAUUGCAAAUUUCUCUUCGUGCAAUGGUUCAAUAGCAGAUUGUGAUGAAGAAUUGGAGAUUUUAAUGGAGUCUGAGAUAAGCAGAAGAAUUCUUGAGAAUAAAAAAUACAUCUCACCAGGGGCUUUGAAAAGAGAUCAGCCAGUAUGCGAAGGUGGUGCCAGCGGCAAGCCGUACACGGGCAACAGUGGUUGUGUUCCUGCCCCGUCGAACACCCCCCGCAGAGAUUGCGAACAAUAUUAUCACUGUCGAGGUUAAUUAUGAAUGAUACAUACGAACUUGGUGAAGCUAUUUUAUAGAAGUUCAUUGAUAUCCGGGAUAAAUGUACUUGAACUAACUUAUGUCACACAUCGACACAACGCAUGUAUAAGUAACAUGUAUUUUCGUAUGUGCAUACACGAGUAUGUUUAGUAGUUUUCAUAAUAUCUUUACUUCAAAUAAAUUAAAUUGUAUGUUGUUUCCACUAUAUCUUGCUUAAAUUCCUAGUAAACUUAAGCGAUCCACUUGUGUGUGUAAUGAAUUGAGAAAUAAAAUAUUCGAUAGCAAGACCAAUA